Non-coding RNA from Dipodomys ordii (Ord's kangaroo rat), 73 nucleotides. Lineage: Eukaryota; Metazoa; Chordata; Mammalia; Rodentia; Heteromyidae. The record is from Rfam.
GGGAAGGUAGCUCAGUGGUAGAGUACUUGCCUCACAUGCAUGAGGCCCUGAGUUCAAUUCCUCAGCACUACCG